Molecule: non-coding RNA, 73 nt
Organism: Phrynosoma platyrhinos (Desert horned lizard)
Lineage: Eukaryota; Metazoa; Chordata; Lepidosauria; Squamata; Phrynosomatidae
Source: the annotation of a GenBank genome assembly
ACCAUUGUGGGGUAGUGGUUUGAGUGUUGGACUAGGAAUCCAGGAGACCAGGGAUCAAAUCCCUGCACAGCCA